RNAcentral lists this ribosomal RNA (253 nucleotides) under uncultured bacterium. RNAcentral describes it as "partial 16S ribosomal RNA". It matches the Rfam family "Bacterial small subunit ribosomal RNA", at positions 524 to 776 of the family's 1533-position model. The record is from RNAcentral.
UACGGGGGGGGCAAGCGUUGUUCGGAAUUACUGGGCGUAAAGGGCUUGUAGGUGGCCAACUAAGUCAGACGUGAAAUCCCUCGGCUUAACCGGGGAACUGCGUCUGAUACUGGAUGGCUUGAGUGUGGGAGAGGGAUGCGGAAUUCCAGGUGUAGCGGUGAAAUGCGUAGAUAUCUGGAGGAAUACCGGUGGCGAAGGCGGCAUCCUGGACCGGCAUUGACGCUGAGGAGCGAAAGCCAGGGGAGCAAACGGG